UAAAGGUGAGGAACAUGGGACUCUUAGUAAGCACACUGCUGACAUUGGAAGAGCCCGGGUUCGCCUGACUGCAAAGUCCAUGCCCUGGCGUAUUAGCCUGCUCGUCUGGAACAACCGCUCAUCAUCCCAUUCUGGAUGCUCCUGUUUAAGCACAUCACACACUCUGUUGUGUUCCCGCAGCCAAAUUGUGGCGUACAUCAUCAGACCAGGCACCAGACCAAAGACCUCCUGGCCCACAGCAAACCGCAGGUGUUCAGGAACAUGAGGAAGGGAAUGUUAUUGACAAUGUUCCAGACUCCCUUGAAGUGGGUAAGUAUGUAGUGCACUGUAUUUGGAGUGGGUUUCAGGAAUAACUUUAUUCUUGUCAGAAAUUCAGCUGCAAAAAAGAAG
Long non-coding RNA from Herpailurus yagouaroundi (jaguarundi), 390 nucleotides. RefSeq lists it as uncharacterized. The transcript has 3 exons. Lineage: Eukaryota; Metazoa; Chordata; Mammalia; Carnivora; Felidae. The record is from RefSeq and is a predicted model, not a curated record.